ACGAACGCUGGCGGCGUGCUUAACACAUGCAAGUCGAGCGGUAAGGCCCUUUCGGGGGUACACGAGCGGCGAACGGGUGAGUAACACGUGGGUGACCUGCCCUCAGCUCUGGGAUAAGCCUGGGAAACCGGGUCUAAUACUGGAUAUGACUCCAUGACGCAUGUUGUGGGGUGGAAAGCCUUGUGCGGCUGAGGAUGGGCCCGCGGCCUAUCAGCUUGUUGGUGGGGUGANGGCCUACCAAGGCGACGACGGGUAGCCGGCCUGAGAGGGCGACCGGCCACACUGGGACUGAGACACGGCCCAGACUCCUACGGGAGGCAGCAGUGGGGAAUCUUGCGCAAUGGGCGAAAGCCUGACGCAGCGACGCCGCGUGAGGGAUGACGGCCUGGUGU
RNAcentral lists this ribosomal RNA (392 nucleotides) under uncultured bacterium. Its description in RNAcentral is "bacterial SSU rRNA". It matches the Rfam family "Bacterial small subunit ribosomal RNA", at positions 29 to 422 of the family's 1533-position model. The record is from RNAcentral.